ACGGGGACUCCGAGUUCAACUAGAACUCGGAGACUUCCCCUUAUUAAUCCCCAUCCUCCUCCUUAGAUCUCCGCUAUCGGAAUCGUCAAGAGUAGCUGCUGAUUUCAAGCCCUCUUUCCAGGCUUUCUUCCUCGAUUCCUCGCCAGGAAAGGUCGUCGGAGAGCCUCGCCGGACCUAGUAAGCGGUUUAGGGCAGUCCAGUUCCGUUCAAGCGCUCCUUCAAGCGAGAAGCUAGCUCUAAAGUCAACAGGUGCAGGCUGACUGGGAGAGGCAGACGACUGGGCGAACUGUUCUAUCGCAGGAAUAUGUAGAAUGCUCGGGUCCCCACGGGAGUACGUCUGCAACGGAGCUGAUGGUCUGGCGGCAUCGACAGAGGGAUCUAUGGCAUCUGAGACGGCUGAUGGCAAGGUAGGCGGGGCAGCCUCUGAUGCUGAUGAGUCGUUCUUUUACCAUCAAUCAUGCGAAAGUUUACCAACUUCUUGGUCAAUUGUUUUUGCUCACCAUCCAAGUCCCCCAUAUAGCUGAGAAUUUUCGAGCAAUUGGAAGCCGCUUUCGAUGA
Non-coding RNA from Phoenix dactylifera (date palm), 558 nucleotides. The record is from RefSeq and is a predicted model, not a curated record. NCBI's taxonomy places the organism in Eukaryota, Viridiplantae, Streptophyta, Magnoliopsida, Arecales, Arecaceae.